AGCUGCACCCGGAGAAGCCCUGACGUGGUGCCGAAGGACGCGGGUUCGAUUCCCGCCACCUCCACCA
RNAcentral lists this transfer RNA (67 nucleotides) under Sphaerisporangium siamense. Its description in RNAcentral is "tRNA-OTHER". It matches the Rfam family "transfer-messenger RNA", at positions 306 to 374 of the family's 374-position model. Rfam says of the family: Bacterial tmRNA, also known as 10Sa RNA or SsrA, is named for its dual tRNA and mRNA-like properties. Its role is to liberate the mRNA from a stalled ribosome. The record is from RNAcentral. Lineage: Bacteria; Bacillati; Actinomycetota; Actinomycetes; Streptosporangiales; Streptosporangiaceae.